UACGUAGGUGGCAAGCGAUGUCCGGAUUUACUGGGCGUAAAGGGAGCGUAGGCGGAUUUUUAAGUGGGAUGUGAAAUACCCGGGCUCAACCUGGGUGCUGCAUUCCAAACUGGAAGUCUAGAGUGCAGGAGGGGAAAGUGGAAUUCAUAGUGUAGCGGUGAAAUGCGUAGAGAUUAUGAAGAACACCAGUGGCGAAGGCGACUUUCUGGACUGUAACUGACGCUGAGGCUCGAAAGCGUGGGGAGCAAACAGG
This 253-nucleotide ribosomal RNA is filed under the name uncultured bacterium. RNAcentral's name for it is "partial 16S ribosomal RNA". It matches the Rfam family "Bacterial small subunit ribosomal RNA", at positions 524 to 776 of the family's 1533-position model. The record is from RNAcentral.